CUACGUGCCAGCAGCCGCGGUAAUACGGAAGGUCCAGGCGUUAUCCGGAUUUAUUGGGUUUAAAGGGAGCGUAGGCUGGAUAUUAAGUGUGUUGUGAAAUGUAGACGCUCAACGUCUGACUUGCAGCGCAUACUGGUUUCCUUGAGUACGCACAACGUUGGCGGAAUUCGUCGUGUAGCGGUGAAAUGCUUAGAUAUGACGAAGAACUCCGAUUGCGAAGGCAGCUGACGGGAGCGCAACUGACGCUUAAGCUCGAAGGUGCGGGUAUCGAACAGGAUUAGAUACCCUGGUAGUCCGCACAGUAAACGAUGGAUGCCCGCUGUUGGUACCUGGUAUCAGCGGCUAAGCGAAAGCAUUAAGCAUCCCACCUGGGGAGUACGCCGGCAACGGUGAAACUCAAAGGAAUUGACGGGGGCCCGCACAAGCGGAGGAACAUGUGGUUUAAUUCGAUGAUACGCGAGGAACCUUACCCGGGCUUGAA
This 481-nucleotide ribosomal RNA is filed under the name uncultured bacterium. RNAcentral's name for it is "bacterial SSU rRNA". It matches the Rfam family "Bacterial small subunit ribosomal RNA", at positions 501 to 985 of the family's 1533-position model. The record is from RNAcentral.